AACGAACGCUGUCGGCAUGCCUAACACAUGCAAGUCGAACGAGACCUUCGGGUCUAGUGGCGCACGGGUGCGUAACGCGUGGGAACCUGCCCUUAGGUUCGGAAUAACUCCCCGAAAGGGGUGCUAAUACCGGAUAAUGUCUUCGGACCAAAGAUUUAUCGCCUUUGGAUGGGCCCGCGUUGGAUUAGCUAGUUGGUAGGGUAAAAGCCUACCAAGGCGACGAUCCAUAGCUGGUCUGAGAGGAUGAUCAGCCACACUGGGACUGAGACACGGCCCAGACUCCUACGGGAGGCAGCAGUGGGGAAUAUUGGACAAUGGGCGAAAGACUGAUCCAGCAAUGCCGCGGGAGUGAUGAAGGCCUUAGGGUUGUAAAGCUCUUUUACCCGGGAUGAUAAUGACAGUACCGGGAGAAUAAGCUCCGGCUAACUCCGUG
Molecule: ribosomal RNA, 433 nt
Filed under: uncultured bacterium
Lineage: Bacteria
Description: partial 16S ribosomal RNA
Rfam family: Bacterial small subunit ribosomal RNA
Source: RNAcentral